AUCCUGGCUCAGGACGAACGCUGGCGGCGUGCCUAAUACAUGCAAGUCGAGCGGACAGAAGGGAGCUUGCUCCCGGAUGUUAGCGGCGGACGGGUGAGUAACACGUGGGUAACCUGCCUGUAAGACUGGGAUAACUCCGGGAAACCGGAGCUAAUACCGGAUAGUUCCUUGAACCGCAUGGUUCAAGGAUGAAAGACGGUUUCGGCUGUCACUUACAGAUGGACCCGCGGCGCAUUAGCUAGUUGGUGGGGUAAUGGCUCACCAAGGCGACGAUGCGUAGCCGACCUGAGAGGGUGAUCGGCCACACUGGGACUGAGACACGGCCCAGACUCCUACGGGAGGCAGCAGUAGGGAAUCUUCCGCAAUGGACGAAAGUCUGACGGAGCAACGCCGCGUGAGUGAUGAAGGUUUUCGGAUCGUAAAGCUCUGUUGUUAGGGAAGAACAAGUGCGAGAGUAACUGCUCGCACC
This 469-nucleotide ribosomal RNA is filed under the name Bacillus pumilus. RNAcentral describes it as "bacterial SSU rRNA". It matches the Rfam family "Bacterial small subunit ribosomal RNA", at positions 16 to 479 of the family's 1533-position model. The record is from RNAcentral. Lineage: Bacteria; Bacillati; Bacillota; Bacilli; Caryophanales; Bacillaceae.